GCCACGUAUUAGUCAUCAAGUCAGACAAACCCAUGUAUCACCCCACGUAACAUGAACUUAAUGCUAAUUAAAUUAUAACUAUAAUGCUAAUUAAAGUAAAACUAUCACCAUUUAUUAUUAAUCCACCCUUUCCUAUCCCCUCAUCAAUUACAACUCUACGCAUAAGCAUGUUUUAAUGAUGAAAAUUGAGAGGUUUGAGUUUUUGGAUAUAAAUGUAAUCUUUUCUACAGUCCGAAAUGUGAGAUCCAAAAAUUUCUUAUAAAUUAACAUUACAUUUCAUUUGAUAAUAGGUUAUGUUUUCCUUCCUAUUUUUAGGUUCUUUUCUCCUUUCUUAUAAAAGUUUAAUUAUUUAUUGUUUUAAUUAAGGAAGGAAAUGAAUAGUUGUAACGGAUAAUGAAGGGUCACCAAUCACCAUCUAUAGGGAUCCAAUAUUGACGGUUAAUUUCAUCUAAAUGUUCCUGUCUUUAGGACUCUUAAGCCCAUUUGCUUGCGGCCAUGAACACUUUGUUGAAUUUAUCAAUCUUUUCAACCAUUGCGUCUCCAACAGUAUAAAGGAUCAAGUCACUGUAGUAACGUUGCGAGGCACAAAUACAAGGUUGUAUGAAUCUUUAUUCUAGAUGGUUGACGUAAAUACUUUUCGCAGUUCCCAUAAUCUUUUUACAUACUCUUUGUGGAUUUAUAUAUAAGGGGAUCAAGACUGUUGAAGUGUGAAUAUAGCAGUUGCAUAUUAACAUCUUAUCUAAUUCAUCUCGAUGAAAUAACUCUCUUGCUGUCUCGUAUAAAGGUUCUUAUGCAAAUUUUGUCUUGAAUCGAACGACUUUUGCAAUGCUUUAUAACCUAAGAGAUAAGACAUAAUGGCACGAAAUUGGACAACCAUACUCUUAAACAAUACAAGGCAAUCAAAAGAGAACAUAUAGAGAAGAAGCUUAAAGAUAUGUCCGAUGUACAUUCUUCGUAAAAUGAUCGGAAUGCUCUUAGUGGUGAAAAGAAGUGAGUUAUAUGUCGAAGUUAAAUAAUGCUUCAUGAAAUUAUAGGUUCAUAAUAUAAAUCUAGAGUUCCCCAAGUGACUUUCUUCUUUAAUUUUUAGGGCAUUGAAUCUUAAAUUUCUGUUAAUGA
Lycium barbarum (goji berry) is the source of this 1116-nucleotide long non-coding RNA. RefSeq lists it as uncharacterized. NCBI's taxonomy places the organism in Eukaryota, Viridiplantae, Streptophyta, Magnoliopsida, Solanales, Solanaceae. The transcript is spliced from 3 exons. The record is from RefSeq and is a predicted model, not a curated record.